CAGUAGCCGCGGGAAAACGGAGGGGGCUAGCGUUGUUCGGAAUUACUGGGCGUAAAGCGCACGUAGGCGGCUUGGUAAGUUAGAGGUGAAAGCCUGGAGCUCAACUCCAGAAUUGCCUUUAAGACUGCCGAGCUAGCAGGUGAGAGAGGUAAGUGGAAUUCCGAGUGCAGAGGUGAAAUUCGUAAAUAUUCGGAAGAACACCAGUGGCGAAGGCGGCUUACUGGCUCAUACUGGACGCUGAGGUGCGAGAGCGUGGGGAGCAAACAGGAUUAGAUACCCGGGUAGUCCCUGUCUCUUAUAC
Molecule: ribosomal RNA, 301 nt
Filed under: uncultured bacterium
Lineage: Bacteria
Description: partial 16S ribosomal RNA
Rfam family: Bacterial small subunit ribosomal RNA
Source: RNAcentral